RNAcentral lists this ribosomal RNA (247 nucleotides) under uncultured Acinetobacter sp. Its description in RNAcentral is "partial 16S ribosomal RNA". It matches the Rfam family "Bacterial small subunit ribosomal RNA", at positions 527 to 773 of the family's 1533-position model. The record is from RNAcentral. Lineage: Bacteria; Pseudomonadati; Pseudomonadota; Gammaproteobacteria; Moraxellales; Moraxellaceae.
AGAGGGUGCAAGCGUUAAUCGGAUUUACUGGGCGUAAAGCGUGCGUAGGUGGCCAAUUAAGUCAAAUGUGAAAUCCCCGAGCUUAACUUGGGAAUUGCAUUCGAUACUGGUUGGCUAGAGUAUGGGAGAGGAUGGUAGAAUUCCAGGUGUAGCGGUGAAAUGCGUAGAGAUCUGGAGGAAUACCGAUGGCGAAGGCAGCCAUCUGGCCUAAUACUGACACUGAGGUACGAAAGCAUGGGGAGCAAAC